CUGUAUGGCCAUACCACGCCGAUCUUGUCUGAUCUCAGAAGCUAAGCAGUGUUGGACCUGAUUAGUUCUUGCAAGAAAGAAUGCUAAACUUU
RNAcentral lists this ribosomal RNA (92 nucleotides) under Saimiri boliviensis boliviensis (Bolivian squirrel monkey). The record is from RNAcentral. Lineage: Eukaryota; Metazoa; Chordata; Mammalia; Primates; Cebidae.